ACUCUAUUUUGUUUUAAACUGAAUACAAAACCAAGUUAUUUUAAAGUCACUUAUUUUAGGACGGAGGGAGUAAUAUAUAGUAUCCGAUUUUAAUUACAAACUGCUCUUUGUUCUGAUGCACUUGUUUUUUUACUGUCAUAGAUAUGAAAGCCAACGCAUGCGCGGGCCGUGAACCUUACCAGUUCAAUUGUACACCUGGAGGCUGUGUUACUGCCUGCAAAAAACUGGGCUGCGGAACUGGGGUUUGCCAUUCAGAUGGUAGUUGCUAUUGCAGCUAGAUGAGGCUGCUUGAUCAGUCCUAGUUGUUGCUCUAAUUUGUAGCAAGAAAAAGACCGAGAAUAAUAAGUAAUGUUGAGUUUUCUUCAAUUCCUGAAAAAAGUUAAAUAGAGAUUGUUUAUUUUCCUGUGCUCUCCCUUAUCAUUGUUUUUUUAAUGAAA
This 437-nucleotide long non-coding RNA is filed under the name Hordeum vulgare. RNAcentral describes it as "long non-coding RNA (HVUL_LNC001636)". Lineage: Eukaryota; Viridiplantae; Streptophyta; Magnoliopsida; Poales; Poaceae. The record is from RNAcentral.